Molecule: ribosomal RNA, 410 nt
Filed under: Vibrio sp. P5-6
Lineage: Bacteria; Pseudomonadati; Pseudomonadota; Gammaproteobacteria; Vibrionales; Vibrionaceae
Description: bacterial SSU rRNA
Rfam family: Bacterial small subunit ribosomal RNA
Source: RNAcentral
UCCUUCGGGUGCGUUAAUGGGCGUCGAGCGGCGGACGGGUGAGUAAUGCCUAGGAAAUUGCCUUGAUGUGGGGGAUAACCAUUGGAAACGAUGGCUAAUACCGCAUGAUGCCUACGGGCCAAAGAGGGGGACCUUCGGGCCUCUCGCGUCAAGAUAUGCCUAGGUGGGAUUAGCUAGUUGGUGAGGUAAUGGCUCACCAAGGCGACGAUCCCUAGCUGGUCUGAGAGGAUGAUCAGCCACACUGGAACUGAGACACGGUCCAGACUCCUACGGGAGGCAGCAGUGGGGAAUAUUGCACAAUGGGCGAAAGCCUGAUGCAGCCAUGCCGCGUGUAUGAAGAAGGCCUUCGGGUUGUAAAGUACUUUCAGUUGUGAGGAAGGGUGUGUAGUUAAUAGCUGCGCAUCUUGACG